UAAAAGUGAAAUAAAUUCAUACAUACUGUAAUAUAAAUAGUCAAGGUAUGUAAUUAAAUUUACAAUGACACGUGGGCCCCCAAAUGACAAAAGUGAACGAAGGCUGUGAACCUACAAUUUUUGAGGAAGUAAAGUCAACUGUAGCCUUCGACGAUAUCAGCUAUCUACAAACUAUCCUGAGCUUGAAAUAGGUGGAAAGGAAGGUGAUGAGAUUAUAUAAUCCUAGUGAGUAAACGAAUAUCAUCUAAAAUAUCUAAAGCCGAGUAAAUGGAGACGAUUAAAAUAGAUCAUCAUGAAAUGGUUCAUAACAUCAAAACACAUUUCAAAUCAUCUAAGCCAGAUACAUUUCAUCCAAAAUAUACAAUGAGGCUUAUGAAUCUCUUAAAAACUUGGCUCGUGCCAAAACUCAUUCUCGGGGAUACCUUGGCCAAGGCAUCUAACCGAGUCCGUCAAGGUUGUUAAGAAGUCGUAUACACACAAAACACAUUUUUACAUUUAAAAGCACAGCCGUUCCUUGGUGUUGGCUGAAUUCACUCUCACGUGGUGGUUUGACGUGAAGUGAACUCUAAACUUUACCCCAAGAGAUACCCUACGCUUCUCCAACCGAGGUAAGAAUAUAACUAGAUUUCGUGCCCCUCUAAUAGACUGGCCCGCAGAACCCGCCACUGCAGUGACCAAUCUAUAACCCACCAAUUCAAUAAAAAUUCAACAGCAUGACAUGUCAAUUUUAUCAUUAUCCAGCCUAUCAAGGCAAACAACAGUUUAUACAUUUUCAACACAAAUACCCAUCCAGCCAUUCAUGCUUACAUUAUCAUAAGCCAUUUCAAUUCAAAACAUAAUUUACAAUAUAGCAAGUAGUCUUCAAUUAUUCCAUUUUCAAGUCAUCAUUAAAUUUCAAAACAAUUUAUAAAAUCAUUUCAUUUAAACACAUUUUUCAUAAAAUUACAAAAUCGGAUAAAAACAUACUUUAGAUAAUUAAGACGAUAAUAAGGUUACUCACUAUUUCGGGAGUCGAAUUUUUAGAGUACUCCGACUAUCGAUCCUCGGGUACAAUUUCUUUGCCCUUAUCAGAAGAUUCACCACCU
This 1085-nucleotide long non-coding RNA is filed under the name Theobroma cacao (cacao). Its description in RNAcentral is "long non-coding RNA (TCAC_LNC002879)". The record is from RNAcentral. Lineage: Eukaryota; Viridiplantae; Streptophyta; Magnoliopsida; Malvales; Malvaceae.